UACGAAGGGGGCUAGCGUUGUUCGGAUUUACUGGGCGUAAAGCGCACGUAGGCGGAUCGAUCAGUCAGGGGUGAAAUCCCAGGGCUCAACCCUGGAACUGCCUUUGAUACUGUCGAUCUGGAGUAUGGAAGAGGUGAGUGGAAUUCCGAGUGUAGAGGUGAAAUUCGUAGAUAUUCGGAGGAACACCAGUGGCGAAGGCGGCUCACUGGUCCAUUACUGACGCUGAGGUGCGAAAGCGUGGGGAGCAAACAGGG
Molecule: ribosomal RNA, 254 nt
Filed under: uncultured bacterium
Lineage: Bacteria
Description: partial 16S ribosomal RNA
Rfam family: Bacterial small subunit ribosomal RNA
Source: RNAcentral